This 460-nucleotide ribosomal RNA is filed under the name uncultured bacterium. RNAcentral's name for it is "partial 16S ribosomal RNA". It matches the Rfam family "Bacterial small subunit ribosomal RNA", at positions 338 to 795 of the family's 1533-position model. The record is from RNAcentral.
CCUACGGGGGGCAGCAGUGAGGAAUAUUGGUCAAUGGCCGGAAGGCUGAACCAGCCAUGCCGCGUGAAGGUCAGUGCCCUAUGGGCGUUAAACUUCUUUUGUGCGGGAGCAAUAGUGGUCACGUGUGGCCAGACGAGAGUACCGUACGAAUAAGCAUCGGCUAACGCCGUGCCAGCAGCCGCGGUAAUACGGGUGAUGCAAGCGUUAUCCGGAUUUAUUGGGUUUAAACGGUGCGUAGGCUGGGAGGUAAGUCAGCGGUGAAAUGCCCCCGCGCCACGGGGUGAAGUGCCACUGAUACUGGCUGGCUGGAAUGCGGAUGCCGUGGGAGGAAUGUGAGGUGUAGCGGUGAAAUGCAUAGAUAUCACACAGAACACCGAUUGCGAAGGCAGCUCACGAAUCCGCGAUUGACGCUGAUGCACGAAAGCGUGGGUAUCAAACAGGAUUAGAUACCCUUGUAGUC